AAGCUGAAUGGUCGCGCACAUUUGUGUGAGGAAAGUCCGGGCUCCAUAGGACAGGGUGCAAGCUAACGGCUUGUGGAGGCGACUCUAAGGAUAGUGCAACAGAAAUAUACCGCCUGCCGAUGCAGGUAAGGGUGGAAAGGCGAGGUAAGAGCUCACCCGGCUGUAUGGUGACGUACGGCUGCUGUAAACCCCACUCGGAGCAACGCUUGAAUGGAAGGCUUAACCGGUCCGGCUACUUCCGAAAAGGCGGCUUGAGGCGUGCGGCGACGUGCGUCCCAGAUAGAUGACCAUUUUUAACAGAACCCGGCUUAUGGCU
RNAcentral lists this RNase P RNA (316 nucleotides) under human gut metagenome. RNAcentral's name for it is "Bacterial RNase P class A". It matches the Rfam family "Bacterial RNase P class A". From Rfam's summary of the family: Ribonuclease P (RNase P) is a ubiquitous endoribonuclease, found in archaea, bacteria and eukarya as well as chloroplasts and mitochondria. Its best characterised activity is the generation of mature 5'-ends of tRNAs by cleaving the 5'-leader elements of precursor-tRNAs. The record is from RNAcentral.